Long non-coding RNA from Sander lucioperca (pikeperch), 1252 nucleotides. RefSeq lists it as uncharacterized. NCBI's taxonomy places the organism in Eukaryota, Metazoa, Chordata, Actinopteri, Perciformes, Percidae. The record is from RefSeq and is a predicted model, not a curated record. The transcript is spliced from 2 exons.
UUUUUAAGCAAGAAUCAGAAUAUAAAGAAAAGGAAACAGCUGAUCAGCCAAUGAGCAUGCACAGGAAGUGGUCACUCCAUUCCUCUGGACCUGUUUAUGAGUGCGUGUAGCAACAGUGACCGAGGCAGACUCAGCUGUCUGAGGGGCGGGGCUCCAGCUGCAUGUGGGGGUGCACAAGAAGUUCUCUAACAGGAAGGUUUCCGCUGUUUGGCACUGAAACAACCAAUCAGCAUGAUCCCUCUCUGAUGUCAUCUGCAGCUUCAAACUGUCCUCUUCCACUAGUCCUCCACACACUACUGAAGAAGAGCUCAGCUGACAACAUGAGUAGAAGAUACAGGAACUGUCCAAUCACAUACAGUACACCAGGUGUUAUUGACUUUGUGCACGCUGAGAAAAGCUGAAAGCUAAAUCAGACUUACUUUCCCAUAAAGCCUGUCUGCUCAUACGCUGGCCUUCUAUAUUGGUCCAAUGGGUUACACAAUCCUGAGAUGUGUGUGCAGGGAACGUGUGUGUGUGUGUGUGUAAACCAGAAGGCUACUGUAUGCUGUGUGAUAGGGUGAAUCAGGUGUUUAGUGUCCUGAGAAAGCUGAUCACAUGUUGGAUCGUUGAACACCACAACAGCACCAGGCCAGAUGGUCCGGGACGUCCCACAGCACAGAGGACAGAUAAGCUCAUCGUGUUGUCUCUGACGUGCAAAACAGAAGCUGCACAAACAACAUGAAACGCGUGUGACCACUCCCAGUUUGGCAAGCACAACUUCACUAACGGAAAGCAACACAUGGAAGACACAAACACUAGAUAUUCUUCACCUCUAUCUCCAUUUUAUACAGCAAGUCCUGCAAUAAACCAAACAUGUUCCACAAAACUAAAUGUUUUCCUAAAACAAAAAAGAAAGCUGUAUUGUGAACUUAAAUAACAGUGAAUAUCCCAAAGAGGCUGCUUUUAAAACUUCAAAAUGAUUAAAGUUUCACUGUUGUUUGUGUUUUAUGUUAUUGCAUUUGGGGUAUUUCAUUCUAUUUAUUUUUUAAUUGUGGUGCUGACUUUCGGUUUGCCUUUGUGAACCACUUUGUAACAUUGUUUAAAUGUGCUAGAAUAAGAUGUGAAAGUGUGUGUGUGUGUGUGUGUGUGUGUGUGCGCGUCUUUUGAAAUAAAAUACAAUGUAUAGCACAGCCUAAUCGUUCAAUAACCUUUGUGUUCCAGUAAGUUGUAGACUUGUAGAUUUGAAUGUUGUAAUAAAACAAAUGUGCGCUCA